CAUGGGCUUCAGCCCAAGGCUGAAUAAAAUGGAGUACGUGAGCCAAGAUGCACUGGGCUCUCCAACAGUGAGUCACAGCAGAGAGAAAAGUACAUUUCCGUCUUUGAUUCCAGGCUCAUACCCACAGUCACAGGAGCCACAUGGCACAGGCAAAAAGCCGCAAGAGGGAAGUCUGGUACCUUCGGGUCCAUUUUCUGUUUGGUAUAAACUCCAUUUGCUGCUGUGAAGAUGUCGUUCAAGAACACAAAAAUGUAGCCUUCCAAGUUGAAUGCAAGGUCAGAGCUGGCAGGGAGAACAGGAAGGGGAGGCCGUUAUAAAGACACUCUCACCGUG
This is a non-coding RNA of Cricetulus griseus (Chinese hamster), 333 nucleotides long. The record is from RefSeq and is a predicted model, not a curated record. NCBI's taxonomy places the organism in Eukaryota, Metazoa, Chordata, Mammalia, Rodentia, Cricetidae.